Molecule: long non-coding RNA, 242 nt
Filed under: Prunus persica (peach)
Lineage: Eukaryota; Viridiplantae; Streptophyta; Magnoliopsida; Rosales; Rosaceae
Description: long non-coding RNA (PPER_LNC001610)
Source: RNAcentral
AGAUGAGCAUGUCCCUGUGGGUAUGUAGGAGAGUUUUUUUUUUUUAGGCGGAGGAAUAGCUUCAGGGUUUUUUCUCUUUCUAAAAAAGCUUAAUUACUUUUUAAUUUUUUUAAUGAAUUUUAAGUUUUAAAAUAUAUUUUAUUUUAUUUAAAGUCGCGUGGUUCUAUAUCAUUGGAUGUGUGGCACACAUGUGCCACAUCAAUAAUUUAACAAAAAAUUUGAUGGAAGCUAAUGGUAUGGAC